Molecule: unclassified non-coding RNA, 378 nt
Filed under: plant metagenome
Description: partial contains 5.8S ribosomal RNA, internal transcribed spacer 2, and large subunit ribosomal RNA
Rfam family: 5.8S ribosomal RNA (bases 1-105)
Source: RNAcentral
GAAAUGCGAUAAGUAAUGUGAAUUGCAGAAUUCAGUGAAUCAUCGAAUCUUUGAACGCACCUUGCGCUCCUUGGUAUUCCUUGGAGCAUGCCUGUUUGAGUAUCAUGAAAUCUUCAAAGUAAAUCUUUUGUUAACUCAAUUGGUUUCUACUUUGGUAUUGGAGGUCUUUGCAGCUUCACACCUGCUCCUCUUUGUUCAUUAGCUGGAUCUCAGUGUUAUGCUUGGUUCCACUCGGCGUGAUAAGUUAUCUAUCGCUGAGGACACUGUAAAAGGCGGCCAAGGUAAAUGCAGAUGAACCGCUUCUAAUAGUCCAUUGACUUGGACAAUACUUUUAUGAUCUGAUCUCAAAUCAGGUAGGACUACCCGCUGAACUUAAGC